This 607-nucleotide ribosomal RNA is filed under the name uncultured bacterium. RNAcentral's name for it is "bacterial SSU rRNA". It matches the Rfam family "Bacterial small subunit ribosomal RNA", at positions 331 to 930 of the family's 1533-position model. The record is from RNAcentral.
CCAGACUCCUACGGGAGGCAGCAGUAGGGAAUCUUCGGCAAUGGACGAAAGUCUGACCGAGCAACGCCGCGUGAGUGAAGAAGGUUUUCGGAUCGUAAGACUCUGUUGGUAGAGAAGAACGUUGGUGAGAGUGGAAAGCUCAUCAAGUGACGGUAACUACCCAGAAAGGGACGGCUAACUACGUGCCAGCAGCCGCGGUAAUACGUAGGUCCCGAGCGUUGUCCGGAUUUAUUGGGCGUAAAGCGAGCGCAGGUGGUUUAUUAAGUCUGGUGUAAAAGGCAGUGGCUCAACCAUUGUAUGCAUUGGAAACUGGUAGACUUGAGUGCAGGAGAGGAGAGUGGAAUUCCAUGUGUAGCGGUGAAGUGCGUAGAUAUAUGGAGGAACACCGGUGGCGAAAGCGGCUCUCUGGCCUGUAACUGACACUGAGGCUCGAAAGCGUGGGGAGCAAACAGGAUUAGAUACCCUGGUGGUCCACGCCGUAAACGAUGAGUGCUAGAUGUAGGGAGCUAUAAGUUCUCUGUAUCGCAGCUAACGCAAUAAGCACUCCGCCUGGGGAGUACGACCGCAAGGUUGAAACUCAAAGGAAUUGACGGGGGCCCGCACAAGA